AGGCUCUGAGUUCAAACCCUAGUACUUCUAUACUGUACAGGAACAGAAGGCAGAGUAAACCUACCCCUAUAAAUAGCUCAGCACAGGCUCUCUGCUUGUUUGUACUGUGAAUGAGACAAAACAA
Molecule: small nucleolar RNA, 124 nt
Filed under: Dipodomys ordii (Ord's kangaroo rat)
Lineage: Eukaryota; Metazoa; Chordata; Mammalia; Rodentia; Heteromyidae
Description: Small nucleolar RNA SNORA51 (ENSDORG00000022808.2)
Source: RNAcentral